UCCGCGUUGAUUCUCGUUAAAACAGGGAAAAUGGUGGAAUUAUAUAGUUUGUUGGGUUGAGCAGAAGCGCAGCAAUGGCGUAAGACGUAAUGUGAAAUCAAACAAUUAGCGGGCUGCGGGUUGCAGCUUGGCCGGAAACUGGAAUCAGACCUGUCGACGAAAAUCAGAGGCUAUUCCCACAGUAAAAGCGCUGUUUUUUCGCAAAGAAAUGCAGGCUUACCGAGAUAAUGCGCCCCUAUGCAGGCGACAACCGUGAGGUUGACGGCAUUGCGAGAAGACACGGGGCUUUCGGUUUUAACCCGGUCAUGCGGUUAUUUCGCCCGCAGCUCUGUCGAUAA
This 338-nucleotide non-coding RNA is filed under the name Gibbsiella quercinecans. RNAcentral describes it as "RNase E 5' UTR element". It matches the Rfam family "RNase E 5' UTR element". From Rfam's summary of the family: This family represents a conserved element found in the 5' UTR of RNase E mRNA. RNase E is a key regulatory enzyme in the pathway of mRNA degradation in E. coli that is able to auto-regulate the degradation of its own mRNA in response to changes in RNase E activity. The record is from RNAcentral. Lineage: Bacteria; Pseudomonadati; Pseudomonadota; Gammaproteobacteria; Enterobacterales; Yersiniaceae.